UAGGGAAUCUUCGGCAAUGGACGAAAGUCUGACCGAGCAACGCCGCGUGAGUGAAGAAGGUUUUCGGAUCGUAAAACUCUGUUGUUAGAGAAGAACAAGGACGUUAGUAACUGAACGUCCCCUGACGGUAUCUAACCAGAAAGCCACGGCUAACUACGUGCCAGCAGCCGCGGUAAUACGUAGGUGGCAAGCGUUGUCCGGAUUUAUUGGGCGUAAAGCGAGCGCAGGCGGUUUCUUAAGUCUGAUGUGAAAGCCCCCGGCUCAACCGGGGAGGGUCAUUGGAGACUGGGAGACUUGAGUGCAGAAGAGGAGAGUGGAAGUCCAUGUGUAGCGGUGAAAUGCGUAGAUAUAUGGAGGAACACCAGUGGCGACGGCGGCUCUCUGGUCUGUAACUGACGAUGAGGCUCGAAAGCGUGGGGAGCAUACAGG
Molecule: ribosomal RNA, 429 nt
Filed under: Gemmatimonadota bacterium
Lineage: Bacteria; Pseudomonadati; Gemmatimonadota
Description: Gemmatimonadetes bacterium partial 16S ribosomal RNA
Rfam family: Bacterial small subunit ribosomal RNA
Source: RNAcentral